This is a long non-coding RNA of Trachemys scripta elegans, 1064 nucleotides long. RefSeq lists it as uncharacterized. The transcript has 3 exons. The record is from RefSeq and is a predicted model, not a curated record. Lineage: Eukaryota; Metazoa; Chordata; Testudines; Emydidae.
AGGAUAUAAGUGACCUUCUGGAGCUACAGCUUCAUCUCGUGGGUUACCAUGGCUGCUCCAUCGCCUGUGGAGGAGGUGAUUCCAUUAAUCAAACCCCAACAAAACUCUCCAUGCACAAAGUCCAUUUAUUUGGGCUCUGCAAAAGGUGAGAAGAUUUAAGCCACAGACAGAAUGUGUCACUGUGAUAGGGCAUACACCUCCCAUCCUGCACAACAAAGGGUUAAGGAGCUUCUCUGGGCCCAGCCAACUCCAGCCUGCCACAGCUGCCAGGAAUCUACAGGCUGGAGGAGAAGUUUAAAAGGGAAGCAGAGCCGCUCACUUGUGGGCAGACCAGGGAAGAGAACAAAUCUUCAACCCUCAGCUCCUGAAGAGAGGGAUGGUUGAAGGCAGGCGCUUCCCUGACAACUCCUGCCUGAAGGCCAGAUCCUGAUAUGCCCUGAGAGGGAGGCAUUUCGCUCCUCCCCUUACUUGCUCAGUUUAUUUGUGUUAGUUCCCCUUGCUUUUUGUUCAUAGACUACACUGGAAGGGGAGAGGUUUUGAAGUGAUGUGGCCAAUGGGCCAAGUCACAGGAAGAGGCAGGCCACUGCAGAUGUGGAGCACUCAAUAGCAGCAGACCCCAGUGCUCAGACAGCUGCUAUGCCACAGCUACUCAUGAGGAGAUGCCAUUGAGAUACGCAGAAGACUGAAUCCCCAGGAGGCCUUCCUAACUUGGAGAACAAAGACAAUUCUUUGGGAAUAUAAGGGACAGAGAGACUCCAUCUUUCACUAAAAAAGAGUAGAGAAACCAGCACCUCCAUAGUUCCGUGGAAGGUCCUGACCGAGAGAAUGUCUGCCCUGCUGGACAAAGACUAUCGAAAAGAAGUCAUGGAAGAGAAGAGAUGUGUAUAAUGGCAACUAGGUCACCAGACUUGCUUCCAUCAAAGAGGGAAUUCACAGCACUGCAGAGACAAGUACAUGGCCCUCCUGGCACUGAUGUGAGUGCUUGUGCUAUCAUCUGGAGAAACACUUUCUUCAUUGGCUUAGCAAAUCCUGCAUUUGGCGUUAAGUACUCUAUUAAAAAAUAU